Molecule: ribosomal RNA, 253 nt
Filed under: uncultured bacterium
Lineage: Bacteria
Description: partial 16S ribosomal RNA
Rfam family: Bacterial small subunit ribosomal RNA
Source: RNAcentral
UACGUAGGGUGCUAGCGAUGUUCGGAAUCAUUGGGCGUAAAGCGCGUGUAGGUGGUCAUCUAAGUCGAGUGUGAAAGCCCUGGGCUCAACCCGGGAAGUGCAUCCGAAACUAGUUGACUAGAAGACAUUAGAGGAAGGUGGGAUUCCAAGUGUAGAGGUGAAAUUCGUAGAUAUUUGGAGGAAUACCGGCGGCGAAGGCGGCCUUCUGGGAUGCUCUUGACACUGAGACGCGAAAGCGUGGGUAGCAAACAGG